CCGAACACUACUAACACUCUGUUGGAGUUCGGGGAGAGGCCAAGGCGCGGUGGUGGACACCGCCAUCCCUCUCAGAUCCGGGGCUGAGAGAGGGAGGGAGGGAGGGAGGUGGGUCACCUACGAGAGAGAGCACUCACGCCCUCGCUCGUCAGUCGUCACCCAGGGGCCGCCACCGCCGCUGCCAUGCCAUGGGCUUCGUCCGAUCUGCGCUCGCCGAUUCGUUUGAAGAAGGAUCUGGCCAUUGACUGCUGGUGCUUCCCCUCCCCGGGCGAUCAGCCAUGACUUGGGAUAGUACUUCUAUCCAGCAAGCAGCAUUUUGGAUGUGACCUCCAGCUCAAGCAGAGCAUCAAAAAUAGGGGCUCUAUCUGCUAAUGGGGUAGCCGGCAAUGCAGUCUAAGAGCUACAUCUCGUGUGAUUUCUGGAUAUGAGAACUUGAAGAAGAACAAGCUUGAUGCUAUUAUUGAAAAAAAAUCUAUGCUACAUGUAUUCCUUUAAGUACUGUUGCCAGAAACCUUAAUUAGCUACUGUUUUUUAUGAAAUGGAUGUGAUUUAUUUGUGAACUUUAGAGCUUUUGAGUUGUAAUUUGUGAUGUUUGAACCCUUGCCAGACUAUCAAAUUAUGCUAUGUGUGCCUGAAGGUCAAUACAAGGGUAUUCAUCAUAUGAAAAUUCAUUACUUUAUAUAUAUAGAAAAACGUAUCCGCAUAUCUGUGCUUUGAGACGAGGGACAACCCUGAGAACUAGCUUGAGGUUCCACAAAAAGUCCAAAUAAUCAUACUAAUGUUUCAGACUUUUACUUAAGCAUUGUAGAAAUCUGGAAAACAUAGGACUAUAUUAAACUUAGUUUAGUUUUUCUGGAAUGAAGAUAAAGUACAUAUCUAACAGUCUGUAUUUAUACAGUCAUGCUUCUAUAGAUUUUACAGUUUUGUUUUCUCUUUAAAUUUGCUUUAGUAGUUCUAUAACUUCCAGAAUAGUUCAUGUAUCCCAUAUUUUCCCAGGAUUCUUCUUUGCAUCCCAUACACUUAGACGGAGUGGGAGGCUGCCGCAGCGUUGCUGGACUCGGAGCCAAAGCCAUCCGACGCCGCCAACAGGUUGCACCUAUUCGCGGAAAUGACCACAGCUGUGAUGUCUGUAUAGAAAAUCAGUAUUUUCUUGGUUCAUAUCCUAUCUGAAACUUGGAAUGUUAAUUUUUAGGCACAACUUAACUUUCACUGUAGCCUGCAUAUUCUUCUACUCACAAACAGGGCAAAACAUGCACCAUAGAAUGCUGGGAGAACAUAGAUUUAUUUUGCUCUUCGUACUUUUAUUAGAUAAGCCACAUUGCAAAGAGAAUAUGGAUUUAUGUUGAUCUUCCUACUAUUAUUAGAUAGGCCACAUUCUUUUUGUUUCAUUCAUGCCUUUGUUGCUAACAGUAUGGUUGUGUAAAUUCAACAUUGAUGUUUAAUUUUACAUGAUUUACACAAAACUUGUAUUCAUAUUACAUGAGAUGUUGCAUGUGCUAACAGUCUGAUGCCUUCAGAAUUGGCUCUCAAAACUUUCAACCAUGAUUAGAGCUAGCAUACAGUUUGCAGUUUUUAGGGUCUACCUCGGCUUCUGGGCAAGAUAUUGUUUAAUUUUAGGUAAGCUCUAAUUUGUAAAGCAUUAUUGCAGCUUUUAGAAACUUUGAAUCUCAGAUUUAUUGAGAUAUCAAAAUCCCAGUUUGAGAUUCAUCGAGAUAAGGAGAUCUAAUUCGACCAUGUAAUUUGAAUCUUACUCCAAUGAGUAUUGUUGAUUGUCGUUUUUAACAAUAUUACUCAACUUAUGGUCACUUCCCUUUGUUUAGUUCAGCGCCAUUAUUUUCUCUUAUUCUUUUUGGUAAAAAGAAAUCUCUCACUAUCAAAUGUAUUAUGUAAUCCUUUUCUGCUCAGCGGUAGUAAAUUUCAUAGAGGUUAUGUAAUAUAUAAUGUCA
This is a long non-coding RNA of Triticum aestivum (bread wheat), 1946 nucleotides long. RefSeq lists it as uncharacterized. The record is from RefSeq and is a predicted model, not a curated record. The transcript is spliced from 2 exons. Lineage: Eukaryota; Viridiplantae; Streptophyta; Magnoliopsida; Poales; Poaceae.